Molecule: non-coding RNA, 74 nt
Organism: Pteropus alecto (black flying fox)
Lineage: Eukaryota; Metazoa; Chordata; Mammalia; Chiroptera; Pteropodidae
Source: Rfam
GGCUCCAUAGUGUAUUGGUUAGCACGUCUGCUUUACAUGCAGAAAGACCUGGGUUCACAUCUCAGGUGGAGCCA